AGUGAACGCUGGCGGUAGGCCUAACACAUGCAAGUCGAACGGCAGCACAGUAAGAGCUUGCUCUUACGGGUGGCGAGUGGCGGACGGGUGAGGAAUACAUCGGAAUCUACUUUUUCGUGGGGGAUAACGUAGGGAAACUUACGCUAAUACCGCAUACGACCUACGGGUGAAAGCAGGGGAUCUUCGGACCUUGCGCGAUUGAAUGAGCCGAUGUCGGAUUAGCUAGUUGGCGGGGUAAAGGCCCACCAAGGCGACGAUCCGUAGCUGGUCUGAGAGGAUGAUCAGCCACACUGGAACUGAGACACGGACCAGACUCCUACGGGAGGCAGCAGUGGGGAAUAUCUGACAAUGGGCGCAAGCCUGAUCCAGCCAUACCGCGUGAGUGAAGAAGGCCUUCGGGUUGUAAAGACCUUUUGUUGGGAAAGAAAAGCAGCAGGUUAAUACCCCGCGGUUCUGACGGUACCCAAAGAAUAAGCACCGGCUAACUUCGUG
Molecule: ribosomal RNA, 492 nt
Filed under: uncultured bacterium
Lineage: Bacteria
Description: partial 16S ribosomal RNA
Rfam family: Bacterial small subunit ribosomal RNA
Source: RNAcentral